RNAcentral lists this transfer RNA (94 nucleotides) under Caloranaerobacter azorensis. RNAcentral describes it as "tRNA-Ser". It matches the Rfam family "tRNA". From Rfam's summary of the family: Transfer RNA (tRNA) molecules are approximately 80 nucleotides in length. Their secondary structure includes four short double-helical elements and three loops (D, anti-codon, and T loops). The record is from RNAcentral. Lineage: Bacteria; Bacillati; Bacillota; Tissierellia; Tissierellales; Thermohalobacteraceae. RNAcentral also lists the same sequence under 1 other name.
GGAGAGAUGGCUGAGUCUGGCUGAAGGCGCUCGCCUGGAAAGCGGGUAGACGCGAAAAAGCGUCUCGCGGGUUCGAAUCCCGCUCUCUCCGCCA